RNAcentral lists this ribosomal RNA (301 nucleotides) under uncultured bacterium. RNAcentral describes it as "partial 16S ribosomal RNA". It matches the Rfam family "Bacterial small subunit ribosomal RNA", at positions 509 to 807 of the family's 1533-position model. The record is from RNAcentral.
CAGCAGCCGCGGUAAUACGGAGGGUGCGAGCGUUAAUCGGAAUAACAGGGCGUAAAGGGCACGCAGGCGGUGACUUAAGUGAGGUGUGAAAGCCCCGGGCUUAACCUGGGAAUUGCAUUUCAUACUGGGUCGCUAGAGUACUUUAGGGAGGGGUAGAAUUCCACGUGUAGCGGUGAAAUGCGUAGAGAUGUGGAGGAAUACCGAAGGCGAAGGCAGCCCCUUGGGAAUGUACUGACGCUCAUGUGCGAAAGCGUGGGGAGCAAACAGGAUUAGAUACCCCUGUAGUCCCUGUCUCUUAUAC